RNAcentral lists this long non-coding RNA (376 nucleotides) under Rattus norvegicus (Norway rat). RNAcentral describes it as "partial Pvt1". The record is from RNAcentral. Lineage: Eukaryota; Metazoa; Chordata; Mammalia; Rodentia; Muridae.
GAUAUUGUCCCUAAGAGAACGAGAUGCUCUUUGCAGAAGACAUAGAAGAUUCCUGAAACUGGGAAAGGGGCCUAGAAACCUGGAGAAGAGUGAAGAAGGCAUUUUCCCUCCCCUGCUUAGGCAUCUGCCACCAUAUUCAAUACUUUCUCCAGGGUUCUCAGGUUUCCCAUUGGCUUGGAAUUUGUCAAUUAGUUUUGCUGGCUGGACAGAAAGCCACACGGAUCCUCUUGUCUUGGUCUCCUGACAUUUGGAUUAAAGUCAUUUCCUGAAUCUAUGACAAGACUUGAGAGACCACCAAAGCCCAAGAGGUCUUGUUUCACAAGAGAAUCUUCAGGUGUUUUAGGCCUUUAUGACACACCCCAAGCCCUUCAGAGAG